This 3258-nucleotide long non-coding RNA is filed under the name Podarcis lilfordi (Lilford's wall lizard). Lineage: Eukaryota; Metazoa; Chordata; Lepidosauria; Squamata; Lacertidae. The record is from RNAcentral.
UCCCUAAAACAGUUAUGAUUCCAACCUUCUCUUCUUUUCCAUUUAGAUGACAUAAUCCUUGAAGACCUGGAGGCAGAGCAGGGGCAGGACAGCUUUGAUACUGACUCCAUGAGCCACAGAACCUGAACACGGAGUUUGCCAUCGCUCUUUACCAACGCUGGGCAGAGCUCCACCACGGAACGACCCUCGCCAUUUCCCCAGUGAGCGUGGCUCUUUCUCUGGGUGCAAGGGAGCACAUUGGCCCAACUGCAGCCUGCUCUGGGACACAGCACUCAUGGUAAGGCAACCUUCUGAGAAACAGCUUUUCAGUGAGCAGCGCAGGCUGUCGUCGGCUUCGCCUGACAGCUUGGACUGUCCUGGUAGGCAGAGCAUAUAAAAACAAAAGCAUGUCAUCCAAGGGGACUUACUUCUGAGUUAACCCCCUUUCAUGCCAUGCUCUUCACUUCAAUGGGCUUUACAUGCGCAUCCUACAGCUUUCAAGUACAUUCUUUCCCCCAAAGAGUUCUGGGCACGGUAGUUCACUCCUCACAGAGUUGCCAGUCCCAGCAACACUCCAGGAACUGCAGUGUCCAGAAUUCUUUAAGGAAAGAAUGUGCCUCAGGGGUUGGACUAGAUGGCCCUUAGGUCCCUUCUAACUCUACAAUUCUAUGAUUCUGUGAAUGCACAUGGAACCAUGUAUUGGUGUGUGCUGAAAGCUAUCCACACCUUGGUUCUGUUGAAAUCAGUUAGUCACAGCUAGCUAAGUCCCAUUGAUUUAUGAAAGUGUGGCUGAUUUACAGCACAAUCCUAUGCAUGUCUACUCAGAAGUAAGCCCUGUUGACUUCAAUGAGGGUUACUCCCAAAUAAGUGGGUACAGGAUUGUGGAUUCAUAUCAACAGAGGAGCAGCUUUUGAUUUAACUGUCUCACCUGCUAUGGACUAUUUAAUGCAAAAAAGUGACAUGUCUACUCAGAACUAUGUCCUUGUGAAUUCCAUGGGGCUUACUCCCAAGUAAAUGGACAGAGAAGUAAUUAAGACCCUUCAGCAUAUAUGUUGAUUUCAGAAUAACAUUAGUCCCUAAGGUCUCUCUGUAACUGUCUGAGGCCUAUUUUGAGGUUUAGAUACAUAAACAUAUCCCGUGUGGCUCUUUGUUUCCCUGUGGGCUAUGCAGACCUCCUCCCUUCCUCACAUGGAGGAAGAUGACCCAGGGCAACAUGAAGGUAAUGUCUUUUUCCAUGUAUAUGUUGUUGUUGUUUAGUUGUUUAGUCGUGUCCGACUCUUCGUGACCCCAUGGACCAGAGCACGCCAGGCACUCCUGUCUUACACUGCCUCCCGCAGUUUGGUCAGACUCAUGUUUGUAGCUUCGAGAACACUGUCCAACUAUCUCGUCCUCUGUCGUCCCCUUCUCCUUGUGCCCUCCAUCUUUCCCAACAUCAGGGUCUUUUCCAGGGAGUCUUCUCUUCUCAGGAGGUGGCCAAAGUAUUGGAGCCUCAGCUUCAGGAUCUGUCCUUCCAGUGAGCACUCAGGGCUGAUUUCCUUCAGAAUGGAGAGGUUUGAUCUUCUUGCAGUCCAUUGGACUCUCAAGAGUCUCCUCCAGCACCAUAAUUCAAAAGCAUCAAUUCUUCAGUGAUCAGCCUUCUUUAUGGUCCAGCUCUCACUUCCAUAUAUCACUACUGGGGAAACCAUAGCUUUAACUAUACGGACCUUUGUCAGCAAGGUGAUGUCUCUGCUUUUUAAGAUGCUGUCUAGGUUUGUGCUUGCUUUUCUCCCAAGAAACAGAUGUCUUUUAAUUUCGUGGCUGCUGCCACCAUCUGCAGUGAUCAUGGAGCCCAAGAAAGUAAAAUCUCUCACUGCCUCCAUUUCUUCCCCUUCUAUUUGCCAGGAGGUGAUGGGCCCAGUGGCCAUGAUCUUCGUUUUUUUGAUGUUGAGCUUCAGACCAUAUUUUGCGCUCUCCUCUUUCACCCUCAAUAAAAGGUUCUUUAAUUCCUCCUCACUUUCUGCCAUCAAGGCUCCAUGUAUAUAUUCAGUGUAUAUAAGAAAGUCUCUCCAAGUGCCAGCCUUUUCCUUUCAGAAGAUCUAAUUAUAGAAGACAUUGAGGAAGAGCAAGAAGAGACUGUGCGGCACUGAAGCAGCUCCUAGAGGGGAUGAUCAGCAAGACCAGGACCAAGUCUCAGAUGUGUGCAAUUCACCACUCUUUAAAUACAUGGACAAGGGUUAUGCAAACUUGGCCACUCAUUGGCUGUCCCAGGAGAAGGCAUGAAGAAGAAAGGCCCAGUUACUCCACAGGGCGAAGCAGGUGGAGGAGCUUCCUGUGGCAUUGAGGAAGAUGAUGACUAUGCAAGUGGGCUGUUGUAACUCCAGCACAACUCGACUCUUAAAAAGCAACCUAGCUGUUUCUGGCCAAUGAGCAAUUCUGGAAGCUCCCUAAUAAUUGCCACCAGUUCACUGCAAUCAGGAAAUUGGAAACAGAACAAUUUGUCUGCAUCUGGGAAACUUGUAGAGAAAGCAUGGCUGGAAAAAUCUUUUUUAAUAAUUCCAGUGGCACCUUUAAGAUCAACUAAAUAUAAGCUUUCAAGGUAUGAGCUUUCGUGUGUAAUACACACUUCAUCAGAUACUCUGAAGCAGAGGUCGGUUCAACCUUAUAACUGUUGAUGACUGUUAUGGCAGUUGGUUCCACAGGGAAGGGCAAGGGAUUUUUAAAGGGAUAGACGACCAAAAUUAGCUUUAGUAUGUAUAAUGGGACAUGAAUCCAAUAUCUCUAUUCAGACCUGGUCUCUCCAUAGUUUUAGUUUGGUAAUGAGUUGUAAUUCAGCAACUUCUCUUUCAAGUGUAUUUCUAAAAUUCUUUUGCAAUAAGACAGCUACUUUAAGAUCUUGUAUAGAAUGUCCUCGGAGACUGAGGUGUUCUCCUAUUGGUUUCUCUGUUUUAUGAUUCCUGAUGUCAGAUUUAUGCCCAUUUAUCCAAAAGUUUGUCCUGUUUGUCCAAUAUAGAGAGCUGAAGGGCGCUGUUGGCAUUUGAUAACUUAUAUAAUGUUGGAAGAUGAACAAUUAAAUAGGCCUGAGGUGGUAUGUUUGAUGUUAUUGGGGCCAAUAAUGAUGCUGUCCGGGUGUCUGUGGCAGCAAAGUUGUCAUCUAGAUUUAUUGCAGGCUCUUGUGGCAGUGUUCAUGUUCAGUGGCGUAGGAAGAGGGGGCGGGGGGAGCGGAGUGCCCUGGGUGCCAUCUCUGAAGGGGUGACGAGGGCACCCCGUGGGGAUGCCAUUGUGCCCAUGCCCGCAGCCGUG